GUCCUAGCUGUAAACGGUGCACAUUUGCUGUAAGAGGAAUCGACCCCUUUUGUGGCGAAGCUAACGCGUUAAAUGUGCCGCCUGGGGAGUACGGUCGCAAGAUUAAAACUCAAAGAAAUUGACGGGGCCUGCACAAGCGGUGGAGUAUGUGGCUUAAUUCGAUGCAACGCGAAGAACCUUACCUGGCCUUGACAUGUACGUAGUAGAAGGAUGAAAGUCUGACGAGUGUAGCAAUACACAGCGUACACAGGUGCUGCAUGGCUGUCGU
RNAcentral lists this ribosomal RNA (268 nucleotides) under uncultured bacterium. RNAcentral's name for it is "partial 16S ribosomal RNA". It matches the Rfam family "Bacterial small subunit ribosomal RNA", at positions 793 to 1055 of the family's 1533-position model. The record is from RNAcentral.